Molecule: long non-coding RNA, 2211 nt
Filed under: Homo sapiens (human)
Lineage: Eukaryota; Metazoa; Chordata; Mammalia; Primates; Hominidae
Description: non-protein coding SEC24B-AS1:7
Source: RNAcentral
GAGGAAGGAACGCGCCUGGCGUCACUGAGGGUGUCACCCGGGACCGCGGCUCAGGAACCCCAGACGCACGGGCCUUGUGCUGUCGCUGCCGUGGCACCCCUUCUAGAAGAAAAUCUAGGUAUCUUGCACCAAGAAGUGGAAAAUAAAGAAGAGAAAUGAGAACCAUGUUUGUAUUGGCUGUCUAUAAAAUAAGAGUUCUAGGUACAUGAAAUCCACUGGUGUGCUGGUAAAUGUUUAAUAACCAGUCCUCUGGAAAGGAGAAAGUUGAAGACCCCAUUUAUACAUUUGCUCAUUUCUGUGGUGUAAAUACCCUGAAAAUAGCUGAUUUCGAGCUAUCAACAUUACUGAAGAUGGAGCUGGGAAGAGGGAGAAGUUAAGUGAAGUUUUCCAACCCACAGCUGUUUUGGCUGAGGCUCCAAAGACUGAGAAUAAAUCAGUAUCUGCCCAGUCACCACGGUGUGCCAAAGGAGGUGCUGGAUUGCCUCGUCAGGACAUGCUACAUGGAUGGAGAGAAGAUUCCUUGGGGAGAUUUGGUGUGUGCAUAACCAGUCCUUCCAGCACUGGAGAAAGGAGGAGUCCUGCACAGGUUGUACACGAUUCUUUCCACCUGGAAACUUGAAACAUGUGCCCUGGAGUUGAGGAUGCUUGGUUUAAUGAUACUGACCUGCAAUUGAGAAGACCAAAAGGGCGAGACAUACCUUCACGCAAGGCGAGGAUGCAUGAGUUUUCCUGUGAAGCAGGAAAGAGUUUAACAAUUCACGGUUGCACAGUAGCGCUAGCGGCUUUGCGGUUUGGUCCUCAGACCCGGCAGCCGCCACUGGUGAUGAGCUGCUAGGAAGCCCCUGUCGGCAAGCUCGUUGGAGCUUGAAUCCACUGUCACCCCUCUGACUCACUGGCAAAAAAAAAAAAAAAGUUGAAGCAGAUUGUCCAGCAAAGUUCUUCAUUGGUGGGCUUAAUACGGAAACAAAUAAGAAAGCUCUUGAAGCAGUAUUUGGCUAAUAUGGACGAAUAGUGGAAGCACUCUUGAUGAAAGAGCAUGAAACCAACAAAUCAAGAGGAUUUGCUUUUGUCACCUUUGAAAGCCCAGCAGAUGCUAAGGAUGCAGCCAGAGACAUGAAUGGAAAGUCAUUAGAUGGAAAAGCCAUCAAGGUGGAACAAGCCACCAAACCAUCAUUUGAAAGUGGUAGACGUGGACUGCCUCCACCUCCAAGAAGUAGAGGCCCUCCAAAAGGUCUUAGAGGUGGAAGAGGAAGAAGUGGAGGAACCAGGAGACCUCCCUCAUGGAGAAGACACAUGGAUGACAGUGGAUACUCCAUGAAUUUUAACAUGAGUUCUUCCAGGGGACCACUCCCAGUAAAAAGAAGACCACCACCAAGAAGUGGGGGUCCUCCUCCUAAGAGUUCUGCACCUUCAGGACCAGUUCGCAGCAGCAGUGGAAUGGGAGGAAGAGCUCCUGUGUCACGUGGAAGAGAUAGUUAGUGCGGUCCACCUGGAAGGGAACCGCUGCCCUCUCGUAGAGGGUUCUUCUUGAAGACAGUUCUUCAAGCAGAGAUUAGCCAAGUUCUCGUGAUACAAGAGGUUAUGCACCACCACCACCGCGAGAUUGUACUUACCGUGAUUAUGGUCAUUUCAGUUCACGUGAUGACUAUCCAUCAAGAGGCUAUAGCGAUAGAGAUGGAUAUAAUAGUGAUCAUGACUAUUCAGAUCAUCCAGCUGGAGAUUCCUACAGAGAUUCAUAUGAAAGUUAUCGUAACUCACGUAGUGCUCCACCUACAGGAGGGCCCCCGCCCCCCCAUCUUAUGGUGGAAGCGAUGAUUAUAGCAGUUCACGUGACGGAUAUGGUGGAAGUCGAGACAGUUACUCAAGCAGCCGAAGUGAUCUCUAAUCAAGUGGUCGUGGUCGGGUUGGCAGACAAGAAAGACGGCUUCCCCCUUCUAUGGAAAUCCUCCACGUGAUUCCCACGGCAAUUCAGGCGGUGGAGCACCAAGAGGUGGUGGCAGUGGAGGAAGCCGAUCUGAUAGAGGGGGAGGCAGAAGCAGAUACUAGAAACAAACAAAACUUUAGACCAAAAUCCCAGUUCAAAGAAACAAACAAAAAGUGCAAACUAUUCUGUCAUAACUACCCAAGGACUACUUAAAGGAAAAAUUGUGUUACCUUUUAAAAAUUCCCUGUUAAGUUCCCCUCCGUAAUUUUUAUGUUCUUGUGAGGAAA